GCGCGAUUAGUUUAAUGGCAGAACUAUUGGUUUCCAACCAAUUAGCACGGGUUCGAUUCCCGUAUCGCGCA
Molecule: transfer RNA, 71 nt
Filed under: Candidatus Pacearchaeota archaeon
Lineage: Archaea; Nanobdellati
Description: tRNA-Gly
Rfam family: tRNA
About the family: Transfer RNA (tRNA) molecules are approximately 80 nucleotides in length. Their secondary structure includes four short double-helical elements and three loops (D, anti-codon, and T loops). Further hydrogen bonds mediate the characteristic L-shaped molecular structure. tRNAs have two regions of fundamental functional importance: the anti-codon, which is responsible for specific mRNA codon recognition, and the 3' end, to which the tRNAs corresponding amino acid is attached (by aminoacyl-tRNA synthetases). tRNAs cope with the degeneracy of the genetic code in two manners: having more than one tRNA (with a specific anti-codon) for a particular amino acid; and 'wobble' base-pairing, i.e. permitting non-standard base-pairing at the 3rd anti-codon position.
Source: RNAcentral